RNAcentral lists this ribosomal RNA (727 nucleotides) under uncultured Planctomycetales bacterium. Its description in RNAcentral is "bacterial SSU rRNA". It matches the Rfam family "Bacterial small subunit ribosomal RNA", at positions 28 to 871 of the family's 1533-position model. The record is from RNAcentral. Lineage: Bacteria; Pseudomonadati; Planctomycetota; Planctomycetia; Planctomycetales.
AAUGAACGUUGGCGGCGUGGGUUAGGCAUGCAAGUCGAGCGAGCGGCGCAAGGGACAGUAAUGUGUAGACAUCUACCCUCGGCUCGGGAUAGCUGCGGGAAACUGCAGGUAAUACCGAAUAGGAUGAGUCUGCAUCCUAUUAGCUUGUUGGUGGGGUAACGGCCUACCAAGGCAAUGAUGGGUAGCAGGUGUGAGAGCACGACCUGCGUCAUUGGGACUGAGACACUGCCCAGACACCUACGGGUGGCUGCAGUCGAGAAUCUUCGGCAAUGGGCGCAAGCCUGACCGAGCGACGCCGCGUGCGGGAUGAAGGCCUUCGGGUUGUAAACCGCUGUCAGAGGGGAUGACCUAUCCUCAGAGGAAGUACGGGCUAAGUUCGUGCCAGCAGCCGCGGUAAGACGAACCGUACGAACGUUAUUCGGAAUCACUGGGCUUAAAGGGUGCGUAGGCGGUGCGGAAAGUUGGGUGUGAAAUCCCUCGGCUCAACCGAGGAACUGCGCCCAAAACUACCGCACUGAGGGAGAUAGAGGUGAGCGGAACUUAGGGUGGAGCGGUGAAAUGCGCUGAUAUCCUAAGGAACACCGGCGGCGAAAGCGGCUCACUGGAUCUCUUCUGACGCUGAGGCACGAAAGCUAGGGUAGCGAACGGGAUUAGAUACCCCGGUAGUCCUAGCCGUAAACGAUGAGCACUGGAUCGAAUGGUCGCAGCGAAAGUGUUUAGUGCUCCG